CGCUUAUUAAUUAAAUAGUAAGUAGAUUCUGCCCAAUGAUACUUAAAUGGCCGCAGUAUCCUGACUGUGCUAAGGUAGCAUAAUAAUUUGUCCUUUAAUUGGGGACUAGUAUGAAUGAACUGACGAAGAGAAAAUUGUCUCUGUAAAUAAACAAUAAUUUUAUAUCUAUGUAAAAAAGCCUAGUUAAUGUAGGGGGACGAUAAGACCCUAAAAGCUUUACCCUUAAAGCUUUCAAAAGUAUUUUAUUAUAUAAAGCCUAUUGGGUUUUUACUGGGGCGGUAAUUCUUUUAACAAGAAUCAACUAAACACGUUGAGUGAAACCAUUUAACUUAAAUACAAAAUUAAACUAAGUUACUUUAGGGAUAACAGCGUAAUUCUCUGAUAGAGUUCUUAUCGACCAGAGAGUUUGCGACCUCGAUGUUGAAUUGAGAUCCUACUUAGAGCAGCAUCUAAAUAAAGGAAGACUGUUCGUCUUUUAAACUCUCACA
This 488-nucleotide ribosomal RNA is filed under the name Ligia perkinsi. RNAcentral describes it as "partial 16S ribosomal RNA". It matches the Rfam family "Bacterial large subunit ribosomal RNA", at positions 1831 to 2600 of the family's 2925-position model. The record is from RNAcentral. Lineage: Eukaryota; Metazoa; Arthropoda; Malacostraca; Isopoda; Ligiidae.